UGUACAGGCGUCUUUCUUUUCACUCUGUCAUUCAGGUUGUGGAGUAACUACCAUGUUGUUCAUCCAUCCUCAGUUUCCUCCCAUCACAGCCAUUAAACUCUGUCAUUAGGUUGGUAUUGUGGAGUAACUACCAUGUUGUUCAUCCAUCCUCAGUUUCCUCCCAUCACAGCCAUUAAACUCUGUCAUUAGGUUGGUAUUGUGGAGUAACUACCAUGUUGUUCAUCCAUCCUCAGUUUCCUCCCAUCACAGUCAUUAAACUCUGUCAUUAGGUUGGUAUUGUGGAGUAACUACCAUGUUGUUCAUCCAUCCUCAGUUUCCUCCCAUCACAGUCAUUAAACUCUGUCAUUAGGUUGGUAUUGUGGAGUAACUACCAUGUUGUUCAUCCAUCCUCAGUUUCCUCCCAUCACAGCCAUUAAACUCUGUCAUUAGGUUGGUAUUGUGGAGUAACUACCAUGUUGUUCAUCCAUCCUCAGUUUCCUCCCAUCACAGCCAUUAAACUCUGUCAUUAGGUUGGUAUUGUGGAGUAACUACCAUGUUGUUCAUCCAUCCUCAGUUUCCUCCCAUCACAGCCAUUAAACUCUGUCAUUAGGUUGGUAUUGUGGAGUAACUACCAUGUUGUUCAUCCAUCCUCAGUUUCCUCCCAUCACAGCCAUUAAACUCUGUCAUUAGGUUGGUAUUGUGGAGUAACUACCAUGUUGUUUAUCCAUCCUCAGUUUCCUCCCAUCACAGCCAUUAAACUCUGUCAUUAGGUUGGUAUUGUGGAGUAACUACCAUGUUGUUUAUCCAUCCUCAGUUUCCUCCCAUCACAGCCAUUAAACUCUGUCAUUAGGUUGGUAUUGUGGAGUAACUACCAUGUUGUUUAUCCAUCCUCAGUUUCCUCCCAUCACAGCCAUUAAACUCUGUCAUUAGGUUGGUAUUGUGGAGUAACUACCAUGUUGUUCAUCCAUCCUCAGUUUCCUCCCAUCACAGCCAUUAAACUCUGUCAUUAGGUUGGUAUUGUGGAGUAACUACCAUGUUGUUCAUCCAUCCUCAGUUUCCUCCCAUCACAGCCAUUAAACUCUGUCAUUAGGUUGGUAUUGUGGAGUAACUACCAUGUUGUUCAUCCAUCCUCAGUUUCCUCCCAUCACAGCCAUUAAACUCUGUCAUUAGGUUGGUAUUGUGGAGUAACUACCAUGUUGUUCAUCCAUCCUCAGUUUCCUCCCAUCACAGCCAUUAAACUCUGUCAUUAGGUUGGUAUUGUGGAGUAACUACCAUGUUGUUUAUCCAUCCUCAGUUUCCUCCCAUCACAGCCAUUAAACUCUGUCAUUAGGUUGUAGAGUAACUACCAUGUUGUUCAUCCAUCCUCAGUUUCCUCCCAUCACAG
This is a long non-coding RNA of Oncorhynchus keta (chum salmon), 1363 nucleotides long. RefSeq lists it as uncharacterized. The record is from RefSeq and is a predicted model, not a curated record. The transcript has 4 exons. Lineage: Eukaryota; Metazoa; Chordata; Actinopteri; Salmoniformes; Salmonidae.